GAUGAACGCUGGCGGCGUGCCUAAUACAUGCAAGUCGAGCGAACGGACGAGAAGCUUGCUUCUCUGAUGUUAGCGGCGGACGGGUGAGUAACACGUGGAUAACCUACCUAUAAGACUGGGAUAACUUCGGGAAACCGUAGCUAAUACCGUAUAAUAUUUUGAACCGCAUGGUUCAAAAGUGAAAGACGGUCUUGCUGUCACUUAUAGAUGGAUCCGCGCUGCAUUAGCUAGUUGGUAAGGUAACGGCUUACCAAGGCAACGAUGCAUAGCCGACCUGAGAGGGUGAUCGGCCACACUGGAACUGAGACACGGUCCAGACUCCUACGGGAGGCAGCAGUAGGGAAUCUUCCGCAAUGGGCGAAAGCCUGACGGAGCAACGCCGCGUGAGUGAUGAAGGUCUUCGGAUCGUAAAACUCUGUUAUUAGGGAAGAACAUAUGUGUAAGUAACUGUGCACAUCUUGACGGUACCUAAUCAGAAAGCCACGGCUAACUACGUG
RNAcentral lists this ribosomal RNA (497 nucleotides) under uncultured bacterium. RNAcentral describes it as "partial 16S ribosomal RNA". It matches the Rfam family "Bacterial small subunit ribosomal RNA", at positions 28 to 507 of the family's 1533-position model. The record is from RNAcentral.